This 465-nucleotide ribosomal RNA is filed under the name Vreelandella stevensii. RNAcentral describes it as "partial 16S ribosomal RNA". It matches the Rfam family "Bacterial small subunit ribosomal RNA", at positions 338 to 795 of the family's 1533-position model. The record is from RNAcentral. Lineage: Bacteria; Pseudomonadati; Pseudomonadota; Gammaproteobacteria; Oceanospirillales; Halomonadaceae.
CCUACGGGUGGCUGCAGUGGGGAAUAUUGGACAAUGGGCGAAAGCCUGAUCCAGCCAUGCCGCGUGUGUGAAGAAGGCCUUCGGGUUGUAAAGCACUUUCAGUGGGGAAGAAAGCCUUGGGGCUAAUACCCUCGAGGAAGGACAUCACCCACAGAAGAAGCACCGGCUAACUCCGUGCCAGCAGCCGCGGUAAUACGGAGGGUGCGAGCGUUAAUCGGAAUUACUGGGCGUAAAGCGCGCGUAGGCGGUCUGAUAAGCCGGUUGUGAAAGCCCCGGGCUCAACCUGGGAACGGCAUCCGGAACUGUCAGGCUAGAGUGCAGGAGAGGAAGGUAGAAUUCCCGGUGUAGCGGGGAAAUGCGUAGAGAUCGGGAGGAAUACCAGUGGCGAAGGCGGUCUUCUGGACUGACACUGACGCUGAGGUGCGAAAGCGUGGGUAGCAAACAGGAUUAGAUACCCGAGGAGUC